Long non-coding RNA from Notolabrus celidotus (New Zealand spotty), 1228 nucleotides. RefSeq lists it as uncharacterized. The record is from RefSeq and is a predicted model, not a curated record. Lineage: Eukaryota; Metazoa; Chordata; Actinopteri; Labriformes; Labridae. The transcript is spliced from 3 exons.
AAUGCUAAAAAGCUAAAAGUUUAGUUUCACUUAAAAACAAUAUUGUCUGUCAUAAAAAUUAAAAAAAAUCGUACAAUAAACAUUGGAACUACAUGAUAAAUCGAAAAGGUAUUAUUUUUCUACUAAAUGAGUGUUUUUUUAAUGGAACAACGGAUUGGGUAGCCUUGAUAAUACAUAUUAACAUGCCAGGCGGGCGGACAUAAGAAUCAUCUACUUGUCAACAGCACCACCCGUCCAGGAUGUGCUCACUUUACAGAGCAAGCGCUCCUUAACUCACGCACGGAGGAGACACAUGGAAGAAGCACUUGAUGGAGGAGAAAAAAACAACAAAAGUGGUGUUAAAACUAAGGAUCUUUAAUGGCUUCACUACGACGGAGGAUAUCACCUAAGCAGGAUGCAAUAGAGCAUGCUGUGAAGGGCGUCGACAAGACCGCAAAGUUGGAAGUGAAGUAUAUAAAUUCAGUCAAAGGUCGAGGGGUCUUUACAAAGUCCCAUUUCAGUAAAGGAGACUUUGUUGUGGAGUACCGAGGCGAAUUCUUAAAUUCCGAUGAAUCCCUGAGGAGAAGAACAAUCUAUCAUGGCAGAUGUUCUGUCUUCAUGUUUGAAUUCCAAUGGAAUGAAAAAACUUGGUGGUAAGGCUUAGUGUGACUUUACACCUCUUUACACCUCAUUUAAAAGUCUUCCUGUUAGGGAUAUGAGUAAAGAAUUGACUAAAGUUAUUUUGCUUUAAAGAUGUGUACUUAUGAGAUGUUUAAGUUGAAAAAGAUGAAGUGAUCUUGCCUUAAGUUCUCGUUCUAAGACAUGGUGGUACAUUGUUCCAAGAUCCAAUCAAAGAUUUAGCAAGGACCUCUUAAAUUAUUAAUAUUCUUUUUAAAGUAUUGAUGCAGCUCAAGAAGACAGCAGUCUAGGGCGUCUGGUCAAUGAUGACCACAAGAAUCCGAACUGUAAAAUGAAAAAGAUCCUGGCAGACAGGAAACCACACCUCUGUCUCUUCGCUGGGAGGGACAUAGAUGCUGGGGAAGAGAUAACGUACGACUAUGGUGGAUCUGAUUGGCCAUGGAGAAUACAGGUUUGACAAAUUUGACAAGUUGUUAGCACUUUAAGUAUGUUUUGAUAUCAUCAGGAUCAAUGUUAGUGAAGUCAGAGGUCUGAUCCGAGUCACAUUCAGGUUUUUAUGAUGUUCAGGAGACAUAUUUAAGUCUGAAAUCAGAGUCAAUUAAAUCCCUUU